RNAcentral lists this ribosomal RNA (323 nucleotides) under uncultured bacterium. RNAcentral's name for it is "bacterial SSU rRNA". It matches the Rfam family "Bacterial small subunit ribosomal RNA", at positions 477 to 793 of the family's 1533-position model. The record is from RNAcentral.
AGCUGCAGAAGAAGCACCGGCUAACUCCGUGCCAGCAGCCGCGGUAAUACGGAGGGUGCGAGCGUUAAUCGGAAUUACUGGGCGUAAAGCGCAUGCAGGUGGUUUGUUAAGUCAGAUGUGAAAGCCCGGGGCUCAACCUCGGAAUUGCAUUUUGAAACUGGCAAACUAGAGUACUGUAGAGGGGGUAGGAAUUUCAGGUGUAGCGGUGAAAUAGCGUAGAGAUCUGAAGGAAUACCGGUGGCGAAGGCGGCCCCCUCGGACAGAUACUGACACUCAGAUGCGAAAGACGUGGGGAGGCAAACAGGAUUAGAUACCCUCGGUAG